GGGCUAUUUUGCAUAGGGCUAUGCAUUUUGAUUGCAAAUCAUAAAUACAAGGUUCAACUCCUUGGUACUCCU
This 72-nucleotide transfer RNA is filed under the name Phoma sp. 1 OB-2014. Its description in RNAcentral is "tRNA-Cys". The record is from RNAcentral. Lineage: Eukaryota; Fungi; Ascomycota; Dothideomycetes; Pleosporales; Didymellaceae.